Molecule: ribosomal RNA, 253 nt
Filed under: uncultured bacterium
Lineage: Bacteria
Description: partial 16S ribosomal RNA
Rfam family: Bacterial small subunit ribosomal RNA
Source: RNAcentral
UACGGAGGAUGCAAGCGUUAUCCGGAUUCAUUGGGUUUAAAGGGAGCGUAGGCGGGGCGGUCAGUCAGUGGUGAAAGCCUGCAGCUUAACUGUAGAAUUGCCAUUGAUACUGUCGCUCUUGAAUGCGGUUGAGGCAGGCGGAAUGUGUAAUGUAGCGGUGAAAUGCUUAGAUAUUACACAGAACACCGAUUGCGUAGUCAGCUUGCUAAACCGUGAUUGACGCUGAGGCACGAAAGCGUUGGGAGCAAACAGU